Molecule: long non-coding RNA, 446 nt
Filed under: Homo sapiens (human)
Lineage: Eukaryota; Metazoa; Chordata; Mammalia; Primates; Hominidae
Description: long non-coding RNA NONHSAT208355.1
Source: RNAcentral
GGUGAAUGCUGAGCUGUACCCCACAUUCGUCAGGAACCUCGGAGUGAUGGUGUGUUCCUCCCUGUGUGACAUAGGUGGGAUAAUCACCCCCUUCAUAGUCUUCAGGCUGAGGGAGGUCUGGCAAGCCUUGCCCCUCAUUUUGUUUGCGGUGUUGGGCCUGCUUGCCGCGGGAGUGACGCUACUUCUUCCAGAGACCAAGGGGGUCGCUUUGCCAGAGACCAUGAAGGACGCCGAGAACCUUGGGAGAAAAGCAAAGCCCAAAGAAAACACGAUUUACCUUAAGGUCCAAACCUCAGAACCCUCGGGCACCUGAGAGAGAUGUUUUGCGGCGAUGUCGUGUUGGAGGGAUGAAGAUGGAGUUAUCCUCUGCAGAAAUUCCUAGACGCCUUCACUUCUCUGUAUUCUUCCUCAUACUUGCCUACCCCCAAAUUAAUAUCAGUCCUAAA